UACGGAGGGUGCAAGCGUUAAUCGGAAUACUGGCGUAAAGCGCACGCAGGCGGUUUGUUAAGUUCAGAUGUGAAAUCCCCGGGCUCAACCUGGGAACUGCAUCUGAUACUGGCAAGCUUGAGUCUCGUAGAGGGGGGUAGAAUUCCAGGUGUAGCGGUGAAAUGCGUAGAGAUCUGGAGGAAUACCGGUGGCGAAGGCGGCCCCCCUGGACGAAGACUGACGCUCGGUGCGAAAGCGUGGGGAGCAAACAGGAUUAGAUACCCCGGUAG
Molecule: ribosomal RNA, 269 nt
Filed under: uncultured bacterium
Lineage: Bacteria
Description: partial 16S ribosomal RNA
Rfam family: Bacterial small subunit ribosomal RNA
Source: RNAcentral